UUGCACUGCAUACCUAUGAAACUAAACUUAAUUAGGUAUAUGGAAAACCACUGUUGAACAUUUCAUAAUUCCAUAGAUGCCCCUACUAUUAAUCUAUUUCUCUCUCAUGGCACUCUCUCUUAUACUCAUCUCUCAUCGUUCUCUCUGUUCUACUCCACUUUUUCUUUCGCCAUAGUUGCAGAAGCUUGGCUGGUGAAGAUGAGAAACCAAAAUCCGAUCCCACAGAUGGAACUAUGUGAUGUGGAUCCGCGAAAAAAUAUUAGAGAGAGAUGUGGGUCCCUAGAGAUGUAUACAAACUGGAUGGUGACACGGUGGAGCAACCGAGUCAACUCGAUGAGUACGUCUCCGAGUUGUUUAUGUGGAUGAUUGAUGAUGACAUAGCACCAUAUCAGUAAAAUAAAGUUUGUAAUAUAACUACCAUUACGUUCUAAGGUUUGCAAUGUGAUGAUGACAUGAGCGAAUGAUGUUAUUAUUCAGUCUAAACAAAAUCCGGUCAACUGAUGUUA
Raphanus sativus (radish) is the source of this 506-nucleotide long non-coding RNA. RefSeq lists it as uncharacterized. The transcript is spliced from 2 exons. The record is from RefSeq and is a predicted model, not a curated record. NCBI's taxonomy places the organism in Eukaryota, Viridiplantae, Streptophyta, Magnoliopsida, Brassicales, Brassicaceae.